Molecule: ribosomal RNA, 557 nt
Filed under: uncultured bacterium
Lineage: Bacteria
Description: bacterial SSU rRNA
Rfam family: Bacterial small subunit ribosomal RNA
Source: RNAcentral
CGCCGCUACGGAGCAGCAGUGGGAUUCUUGCGCAAUGGGCGAAGCCUGACGCAGCGACGCCGCGUGGAGGAUGAAGGCUUUCGAGUUGUAAACUCCUGUCAGAGGAGAAGAAACCCCGAGUAAUCGGGGCUGACGGUAUCCUCAGAGGAAGCCCCGGCUAACUACGUGCCAGCAGCCGCGGUAAAACGUAGGGGGCAAGCGUUGCUCGGAAUUACUGGGCGUAAAGGGUGUGUAGGUGGCUGAGUAAGUCAAAGAUGAAAUCCCGAGGCUCAACYUCGGAAUUGUYUUUGAAACUGUUCAGCUUGAGGAUAGUUGAGGAGARCGGAAUUCCCGGUGGAGCGGUGAAAUGCGUUGAUAUCGGGAGGAACACCUGAGGCGAAGGCGGUUCUCUAAGCUAYUCCUGACACUGAGACACGAAAGCUAGGGGAGCAAACGGGAUUAGAUACCCCGGUAGUCCUAGCUGUAAACGAUGGGCACUAGAUGUUCCUGCUUUUAUGCGGGAGUGCCGAAGUUAACRCGUUAAGUGCCCCGCCUGGGAGUACGGUCGCAGCUGAACU